AUGAGCCAGGAGUUUGAUGAUCAUCUGAAGAAUCGUGGAAUAGUUCCACAACUGACUCCUCCGGGUACGCCACAGAGAAAUGGUGUGUCAGAACGGAGGAAUCGGACCCUGUUGGACAUGGUCCGAUCGAUGAUGAGUCAGUCGGAUUUACCCUUGUCAUUUUGGGGAUACGCUCUAGAAACUGCAGCUUUCACACUAAAUAGGGUACCUUCUAAGUCUGUAGAUAAGACACCAUAUGAGAUAUGGACUGCGAAGAGUCACAGUUUGUCUUUUCUGAAAAUUUGGGGAUGUGAAGCAUAUGUCAAGCGACUCCAGUCGGAUAAGCUCACACCCAAAUCGGACAAGUGCAUAUUCGUGGGAUAUCCAAGGGAAACCUUGGGAUAUUACUUCUACAACCGUGAAGAGGGCAAAGUGUUUGUCGCUCGACAUGGAGUUUUCCUUGAGAAAGAGUUUCUCAAUCAGAAGGCUAGUGGGAGGACGGUCCGACUAGAAGAAAUUCGAGAACCACACGGGGACGUUCCGGUAGGUGAUACUGUCACACCGGAGUUAGUUAGGGAACCCGUAGUGGAGUCGACACCGGUUCCACGGAGGUCGGAAAGGUUA
This 603-nucleotide ribosomal RNA is filed under the name Triticum aestivum (bread wheat). RNAcentral describes it as "partial small subunit ribosomal RNA". The record is from RNAcentral. Lineage: Eukaryota; Viridiplantae; Streptophyta; Magnoliopsida; Poales; Poaceae.